GCCACCGUAGCUCAAUCGGCAGAGCGGCGCACUCGUAAUGCGCAGGUUGUCGGUUCGAUUCCGACCGGUGGCUCCA
Molecule: transfer RNA, 76 nt
Filed under: Chloroflexota bacterium
Lineage: Bacteria; Bacillati; Chloroflexota
Also listed under: 1 other name
Description: Chloroflexi bacterium (hydrothermal vent metagenome) tRNA-Thr
Rfam family: tRNA
About the family: Transfer RNA (tRNA) molecules are approximately 80 nucleotides in length. Their secondary structure includes four short double-helical elements and three loops (D, anti-codon, and T loops).
Source: RNAcentral